This 497-nucleotide ribosomal RNA is filed under the name uncultured bacterium. RNAcentral describes it as "partial 16S ribosomal RNA". It matches the Rfam family "Bacterial small subunit ribosomal RNA", at positions 28 to 507 of the family's 1533-position model. The record is from RNAcentral.
GAUGAACGCUGGCGGCGUGCCUAAUACAUGCAAGUCGAGCGAACGGACGAGAAGCUUGCUUCUCUGAUGUUAGCGGCGGACGGGUGAGUAACACGUGGAUAACCUACCUAUAAGACUGGGAUAACUUCGGGAAACCGGAGCUAAUACCGGAUAAUAUUUUGAACCGCAUGGUUCAAAAGUGAAAGACGGUCUUGCUGUCACUUAUAGAUGGAUCCGAGAUGCAUUAGCUAGUUGGUAAGGUAACGGCUUACCAAGGCAACGAUGCAUAGCCGACCUGAGAGGGUGAUCGGCCACACUAGAACUGAGACACGGACCAGACUCCUACGGGAGGCAGCAGUAGGGAAUCUUCCGAAAUGGGCGAAAGCCUGACGGAGCAACGCCGCGUGAGUGAUGAAGGUCUUCGGAUCGUAAAACUCUGUUAUUAGGGAAGAACAUAUGUGUAAGUAAAUGUGCACAUCUUGACGGUACCUAAUCAGAAAGCCACGGCUAACUACGUG